RNAcentral lists this ribosomal RNA (228 nucleotides) under uncultured bacterium. RNAcentral's name for it is "partial 16S ribosomal RNA". It matches the Rfam family "Bacterial small subunit ribosomal RNA", at positions 89 to 334 of the family's 1533-position model. The record is from RNAcentral.
ACAGGAGCGGCAGACGGGAGAGUAACACGUGGGAACGUGCCCUUUGGUUCGGAACAACACAGGGAAACUUGUGCUAAUACCGGAUAAGCCCUUACGGGGAAAGAUUUAUCGCCAAAGGAUCGGCCCGCGUCUGAUUAGCUAGUUGGUGGGGUAAUGGCCCACCAAGGCGACGAUCAGUAGCUGGUCUGAGAGGAUGAUCAGCCUCAUUGGGACUGAGACACGGCCCAA